RNAcentral lists this ribosomal RNA (432 nucleotides) under uncultured bacterium. Its description in RNAcentral is "partial 16S ribosomal RNA". It matches the Rfam family "Bacterial small subunit ribosomal RNA", at positions 29 to 506 of the family's 1533-position model. The record is from RNAcentral.
AACGAACGCUGGCGGCAUGCCUAACACGUGCCAGUCGAACGAGACCUUCGGGUCUAGUGGCGCACGGGUGCGUAACGCGUGGGAACCUGCCCUUAGGUUCGGAAUAACUCCCCGAAAGGGGUGCUAAUACCGGAUAAUGUCUUCGGACCAAAGAUUUAUCGCCUUUGGAUGGGCCCGCGUUGGAUUAGCUAGUUGGUAGGGUAAAAGCCUACCAAGGCGACGAUCCAUAGCUGGUCUGAGAGGAUGAUCAGCCACACUGGGACUGAGACACGGCCCAGACUCCUACGGGAGGCAGCAGUGGGGAAUAUUGGACAAUGGGCGAAAGCCUGAUCCAGCAAUGCCGCGUGAGUGAUGAAGGCCUUAGGGUUGUAAAGCUCUUUUACCCGGGAUGAUAAUGACAGUACCGGGAGAAUAAGCUCCGGCUAACUCCGU